Molecule: unclassified non-coding RNA, 333 nt
Filed under: Rhizophydium sp.
Lineage: Eukaryota; Fungi; Chytridiomycota; Chytridiomycetes; Rhizophydiales; Rhizophydiaceae
Description: partial internal transcribed spacer region
Rfam family: Eukaryotic small subunit ribosomal RNA (bases 1-46)
Source: RNAcentral
AAGUCGUAACAAGGUAACCGUAGGUGAACCUGCGGUUGGAUCAUUAUAAAUUUAAAUAUUAUAUCUUAUAAUAAUAUUUUAUAUAAUAAUUUGCUCCUUUUUAUAAUAUUAUGAGUUUUUUCAUAGUAUUAUGAAAGGUUUGAGUCGAUUUAUUAUAAAAGAUAUUAUUAUAUUUUAUAAUUAAACACUUUGUGCACUAUAUAUGUUUUUUGGGAUUCAUUUCUUUUUUAUGAAUUCCAGCAUUAUAAACCAAACUUUAUAUAAUUUGACUGAUAGUUUUUUCAUAUAUUGAAAUAUAUAAAACAACUUUUGACAACGGAUCUCUUGGCUCUC